AACGAACGCUGGCGGCAUGGAUUAGGCAUGCAAGUUGAACGAACCACUUUGGUGGUGAGUAGCGGUAGGGUGAGGAACGCGUGAGUAAUCUGCCCCCAAGUUGGGAAUAACAGUUGGAAACGACUGCUAAUACCGAAUGUGGCUAUGACUUCGCAUGAAGUCAUGGCUAAAGAUUUAUCGCUUGGGGAUGAGCUCGCGUCCCAUUAGCUAGUUGGAGAGGUAACGGCUCACCAAGGCGACGAUGGGUAAGCUGGUCUGAGAGGAUGGGUCAGCCACACUGGGACUGAGACACUGCCCCAGACUCCUACGGGAGGCUGCAGUCGAGAAUCUUGGGCAA
This 337-nucleotide ribosomal RNA is filed under the name uncultured bacterium. RNAcentral's name for it is "bacterial SSU rRNA". It matches the Rfam family "Bacterial small subunit ribosomal RNA", at positions 29 to 371 of the family's 1533-position model. The record is from RNAcentral.